GGGGUUGACAUGGAUUUGACAGCAUUUGAUUGUGAUAUGUAAGCAUGCAGAGCCGGUGGGACAACAGCUCUAUAAUCUGGGGUUUCGAACUAUAACUGGCGAAAAUUCUUACGCUCUCGCUGCCUAACCGAAGUUUAGUAAGUCGGCUUUAUCUCGACCUAAGAGGUUGAGACGAGACAUCUCCCAAAAGCCCAAUCCAUGAGGCGUUUGACACGGAGGUGCUGCAAAUUCAGGGAUAGUCGUAGGUAUGCUCCUUGCUUGCGAUGAAAUUCAAAGAGAUAAGGUCGUGUUCGGGUGUCUGUUCCCUCGCACGUCACGAAAACUAAUAACAGAAUAAGCAUGUAGAAAGCAUAUUGCUGCGGUGUUUGGACCGGGGUUCGACUCCCCGCAGCUCCACGA
This 399-nucleotide transfer-messenger RNA is filed under the name Bacteroidales. Its description in RNAcentral is "W3P20-009 sp015061285 Standard tmRNA". It matches the Rfam family "transfer-messenger RNA". Rfam says of the family: Bacterial tmRNA, also known as 10Sa RNA or SsrA, is named for its dual tRNA and mRNA-like properties. Lineage: Bacteria; Pseudomonadati; Bacteroidota; Bacteroidia. RNAcentral also lists the same sequence under 1 other name. The record is from RNAcentral.